This 3012-nucleotide long non-coding RNA is filed under the name Homo sapiens (human). Its description in RNAcentral is "HSALNT0117731". The record is from RNAcentral. Lineage: Eukaryota; Metazoa; Chordata; Mammalia; Primates; Hominidae.
GGUCGCUUCUCGCAGGCGGCGCGCUUGCUGGGUCACAGUGAGGCGGCUCCGCGCAGGCGCAGCCGGGCGGGCGAGGAGCGGGGAAGCUGACUCAGGGCUGCGGCCGGGGUCCUGCGGGGUAGGAGCGCGAGGCCGGCCUGAGGGAGGAGGCCUAGCGACCCAUCCGGCGCCUCCCGCCCCGGGCACCCGCCCGCGGCCGCGCAUCCUGCGGGCCCCAGGAGGCCUCCAUCUCAAAACAACGUGUUUUUAGAGAACUCAAGGGCUGUGAAAAGAGCAGGACCUCACCAGCUGCACGGCGGUGGUGACUGGCUCCAUCUUGCUGUCCCUCCCAAUCACACAACAUCUCCCCUUGAAGGCUCUGCCCAGGCCCGGACUCCCACCUUUCAAGAUGUCUGGAUCAGUGCAGGACCUCCUCCUUGGCCACAUCGCUCUCCUUGGACUGGUUCAAGUGAUUCUCCCACCUCAGCCUCCCAAGUAGGAUUACAGUGUUGACUCACCUGUGGAGUGGUCUGAGCCUGAAUGCCCGGGGCUGUGGCCACCGAGUGAACGGGCUGUGCUAAGGGGAAUUGCCACCUUGGGAAACCUGUGUAGUUGCGGCUUUUCUGAUUAAGUAUCAAUAAAAGUCUGACCUUGUGAAAAAAGCAAACGUGAGUGGCCCUGCUUAUGUUUCACCUUGCGUUGCUCAGUGAUAGUUCUGCAAAGUCGCAGGAAACCUGGAAUCAUCUAAUUAUCGUGAGUGUUGGUGAGUAACACCCAUAGGCACUGGCUCCCGGGGAAAUACAGAGUCAGGUUCCUCCGAGCCGCUGGCCACAGCAUUUUUGUUAAGCAGUUCCUUAUUUAAUAAUGUCUAGUUGAUUCAUUAACAUGGAAUUCAUGGCCAGUACCUCUGUCACUCAUGCCUGACUGAAGUUGAUCAGCACGUCUUUUUCUCCCUUAGGCACAUGACAGCCUUCUUGCAAUCAAGAAACUACGUGUGGCCAGGAUCUCAUCCACUAUCACAGUUUCAGCUUUCCCCAAACUGGAAUGUGUCUUUGCAGACGCCCAUCCUUAUUAAAGGGCAAAGACUUCUCAUACACCUAGGAUGGAUCUUAUAUUCUUGGCGGGACUGCAGAGAAGGUGCCGUGUCCUGAGUCCUCAUGUCAGGGCACAGGCUUCCAGCCAGUUCUACCUGGGUUAUGUUUAUCUCAAUUCCCUGGUGGUAUUGGUGUCUGCUGGGUUUUGCCAGAAUGAAGACACCGUGUUUUCAUUUGUCAGUUGAUUCGUAUUUUCCAGGAAGACAUUCUGAGAUUACAGCAUUGUCUUAGUCAAGGUGCUGCAGAAGGACAGAACUAAUAGGAUAUAUGUACAUAUGAAAGAAAGUUUAUGAAGAACUGGCUCACACCAUCACAAGGCAAAGUCCCAUGACAGGCCAUCUGCAAGCUGAGGAGCGAGGAAGCCAGCAGUGGCUCAGCCGGAGUCCAACAGCCUCAAACGGAAUCCAACAGUUCAGGCUUCAGUCUGUGGCCAAAUGCCCAGAGACCCCGGAAAGCUACUGGUGUUAGUCCCAGAGCCGGAAGGCCAAAGAACCUGGAGUGUGAUGUCCAAGGGCAGGAGGAAUGGACAGAAGCAUCCAGCAUGGGGUAAAGACGAAAGCCAGAAGACUCAGCAAGCUAGCUUACCUACUUUCUUCUGCCUGCCUUGUUCUAGCCGCGCUGGCAGCCGGUUGGAGGGUGCCCACCCCCACUGAGGGUGGAUCUUCCUCUCCUAGUCCACUGACUCAAAUUUCAGUCUCUCUGGGAGCACCAUCACACCAGAAACAAUACCAGCCAUCUAGCCACCCUUCAGUUCACCAUCACAACCAUUGUCUUAUUCAUGAAACUUCUGCAGACCCACCUUAACCUCCAUCGGUGACUUCUACCUGAAGCCCUCUGAUUGUUGCCCAGUGGUGCUUUUUAAAAUAAUUUCCAUAGUUUCUUCUACACCUUUAGUUGGCAUUCUACUGUAAAGGAGAGAUUUUAUUUUCUUACUCAUUUAUUUGUUAGUUUAUAGUCACCACCAUAUGGAUGCAGAGUUCUGUCUCAUUCACUGGGAAGUAUUCUAUUGCAGUCAUGAUUUAUUUUGAUGUUCACAUCCCAGAGUUGGUGAGUGAGCGCCCCUUCACGCUGGCUCCCGAGUGCUGACGUGUCCCCGUCCUUCUCUGCACUUUUCCUUACCUCCUGGCCUCAGAUAUUCCAGGGUCAUUUGUUCUCUCCCUGCUCCAACCCUGCAGUCAGCCAUCUCCCUAGGGACGUUGGUUCCUUUAUGGAAGGUGGCAUUUAGAAGCCAGGAUUUGGGCUGAGCACUGUGGCUCAUGCUUGUAAUCCCAGCACUUGGGGAGGCCGAAGUGGGCGGAUCGCUGGAGGCCAAGAGUCUGAGACCAGCCUGGCUAACAUGGUGAAACCCUUCCCCGUCUCUACUACAAAUAAAAAAUUAGCUGGGUGUGUUGGCACGUGCCUGUAAUCCCAGUUACUCAGGAGGCUGAAGCACCAGAAUCUCUUGAACCCAGGAGGCCGAGGUUGCAGUGAGCCAAGAUUGCACCACUGCACUACAGCUUGGGUGACAGCGCGAGACACCGUCUCAAAAAGGAUAAUAAUUUAAAAAACAGCAGGAUUUGGGUGAGCAGUGCGCUCAUUGCUUCUGGGCUCUCUCGGUGGACAUAGGCUAGGAAUGUAAGAUGUAUGUGCCUGUGUAUAUACACACGUCUGUAGCUAUGUCUAUGUUGCAUACAUGUGUUUUUCCAAAAACCAAAUCCAUAACCAUGCCUUCAGUUUCAGCCCAACACCUCCGGGCUCUUUCUAGCUUUCUACCUUUCAUGAUUGUGAAUACCUUCUCCAGCAGUGAGAAACCUGGCUCCUUUGUCCUCAGUGGAUUUUCUUAUUUGCUCAAUUUUUUUGUUUUUUGUUUUGUUUUUGUUUUUGAGACAGAGUCUUGUUCUGUCACCCAAGCUGGAGUGCAGUGGCAUAAUCUCGGCUUACCGCAACCUCUGCCUCCUGG